UUCCGGUUGAUCCCGCCGGACCCCACUGCUAUCGGGAUAGGACUAAGACAUGCUAGUCAAGCGCUCCCCAGCCAAAGGGGAGUGCGGCAUACAGCUCAGUAGCACGUGGCUAACCUGCCCUUGGGACAGGGACAACCCCGGGAAACUGGGGCUAAUCCCCAAUAGGCGAAGGCUUCUGGAAUGAACUUUCACCCGAAAGGAUACCUACGCUAUGCUCGUAGGCUUCGCCCAAGGAUGGGGCCGCGACCGAUCAGGUUGUUGGUGAGGCAACGGCUCACCAAGCCUAUAACCGGUGCGGGCCGUGGGAGCGGGAGCCCGGAGAUGGGCACUGAGACAAGGGCCCAGGCCCUACGGGGCGCAGCAGUCGCGCAACCUUUGCAAUACACGCAAGUGUGACAGGGCUAUCCCGAGUGCCGUCCGCUGAGGAUGGCUUUUACCCAGUCUAGAAAGCUGGGGGAAUAAGGAGAGGGCAAGUCUGGUGUCAGCCGCCGCGGUAAAACCAGC
This 504-nucleotide ribosomal RNA is filed under the name uncultured archaeon. RNAcentral describes it as "bacterial SSU rRNA". It matches the Rfam family "Archaeal small subunit ribosomal RNA", at positions 1 to 480 of the family's 1478-position model. The record is from RNAcentral.